RNAcentral lists this transfer RNA (86 nucleotides) under Lentisphaerota bacterium. RNAcentral's name for it is "Lentisphaerae bacterium (anaerobic digester metagenome) tRNA-Leu". It matches the Rfam family "tRNA". From Rfam's summary of the family: Transfer RNA (tRNA) molecules are approximately 80 nucleotides in length. Lineage: Bacteria; Pseudomonadati; Lentisphaerota. The record is from RNAcentral.
GCCCGGGUGGUGGAAUGGCAGACACUAAAGACUUAAAAUCUUUUGCCCGAAAGGGCGUACGGGUUCGAAUCCCGUCCCGGGUACCA